GCCCAGCUAGCUCAGUCGGUAGAUCAUGAGACUCUUAAUCUCAGGGUUGUGGGUUCGAGCCCCGCGUUGGGCG
This 73-nucleotide transfer RNA is filed under the name Diabrotica virgifera virgifera (western corn rootworm). RNAcentral's name for it is "transfer RNA lysine (anticodon CUU)". It matches the Rfam family "tRNA". Rfam says of the family: Transfer RNA (tRNA) molecules are approximately 80 nucleotides in length. Their secondary structure includes four short double-helical elements and three loops (D, anti-codon, and T loops). Lineage: Eukaryota; Metazoa; Arthropoda; Insecta; Coleoptera; Chrysomelidae. The record is from Rfam by way of RNAcentral.